UAUUGUGUAUGCAGUGCUUGAAAAUUCAACCUGUUGGGCCAGGUUGCUCAAUUUCUUCCUGUACUAUACAUGGCAAAUUUUAAAAUGAUAAAAGAACAAAGAUGUAACUGAUGCAAUUCAGAAUGUUGUUGCGGCUUAUGACUGCAAAAUUGUUGAAUGUGUCUUUCUCCAUCAACUGAAGCAGUUUGACAGGAACUACCACUUGAAGAUGAAAGCAUCUAGGUUUAUUUUCAGUGAAAUAAAUCAGAAAUUUCCUCCCAUGCCAUUCACAGCUAGAUGUGUUGUGCCUUCACCGCAUUUUUUAAAACAUUGUCUUUUGAUGAAUGAGUUAAUCAUGAACUCUUGCAGCCAUAUCCUAUUCUUCAUGAGAAGCCAAACGGUAGGAAACUUGUAUCUGGGUUAAAAGCAGGAGAUUAUGUUGCUCACAUCAAAUUCACAGUUUUGCCAAUGCCAAAUGGUUCGAAUAGAGUCACAUCUCAUCCUCUGCAGGAGCUGCAGCCCGCAAAGACAACAGAUGAUCCCGAAAUCAAGGCCUUGUUAGCCUUGGGCUCAAAGAAAAAGAAGAAAAGUAAAAUGAGUCAACUGAAGCCGAGCCUAUGGAUGCAACAACAAAUGGUGCUGCUUCCCAUCCCAAGAUUGAGUCUGUUUUAUUUUUAUUUUUUAUUUUGUUUUGUUUCAUUUUUGAACAGAACAAAGUACCAAGUGAGUCUUCGUACUUUUUUCAAUCCAUUGUAUCAGGUUGGAUUGAGUUGGUUUAUUAUUGUGUUUAGACAUUGA
Molecule: non-coding RNA, 777 nt
Organism: Corylus avellana
Lineage: Eukaryota; Viridiplantae; Streptophyta; Magnoliopsida; Fagales; Betulaceae
Source: RefSeq, a predicted model, not a curated record